This 404-nucleotide ribosomal RNA is filed under the name Pseudomonas sp. RNAcentral describes it as "partial 16S ribosomal RNA". It matches the Rfam family "Bacterial small subunit ribosomal RNA", at positions 355 to 776 of the family's 1533-position model. RNAcentral also lists the same sequence under 2 other names. The record is from RNAcentral. Lineage: Bacteria; Pseudomonadati; Pseudomonadota; Gammaproteobacteria; Pseudomonadales; Pseudomonadaceae.
UGGGGAAUAUUGGACAAUGGGCGCAAGCCUGAUCCAGCCAUGCCGCGUGAGUGAUGAAGGCCCUAGGGUUGUAAAGCUCUUUCACCGGUGAAGAUAAUGACGGUAACCGGAGAAGAAGCCCCGGCUAACUUCGUGCCAGCAGCCGCGGUAAUACGAAGGGGGCUAGCGUUGUUCGGAUUUACUGGGCGUAAAGCGCACGUAGGCGGACUUUUAAGUCAGGGGUGAAAUCCCGGGGCUCAACCCCGGAACUGCCUUUGAUACUGGAAGUCUUGAGUAUGGUAGAGGUGAGUGGAAUUCCGAGUGUAGAGGUGAAAUUCGUAGAUAUUCGGAGGAACACCAGUGGUGAAGGCGGCUCACUGGACCAUUACUGACGCUGAGGUGCGAAAGCGUGGGGAGCAAACAGG